GGGCCAGUAGCUCAGUCGGUAGAGCAACGCACUUUUAAUGCGUGUGUCCCAGGUUCGAUUCCUGGCUGGCUCA
RNAcentral lists this transfer RNA (73 nucleotides) under Planctomycetota bacterium. RNAcentral's name for it is "tRNA-Lys". It matches the Rfam family "tRNA". From Rfam's summary of the family: Transfer RNA (tRNA) molecules are approximately 80 nucleotides in length. Their secondary structure includes four short double-helical elements and three loops (D, anti-codon, and T loops). Lineage: Bacteria; Pseudomonadati; Planctomycetota. The record is from RNAcentral.